UGGGGAAUUUUGGACAAUGGGCGAAAGCCUGAUCCAGCAAUGCCGCGUGUGUGAAGAAGGCCUUCAGGUUGUAAAGCACUUUUGUCCGGAAAGAAAUCCUUGGCUCUAAUACAGUCGGGGGAUGACGGUACCGGAAGAAUAAGCACCGGCUAACUACGUGCCAGCAGCCGCGGUAAUACGUAGGGUGCAAGCGUUAAUCGGAAUUACUGGGCGUAAAGCGUGCGCAGGCGGUUUGCUAAGACCGAUGUGAAAUCCCCGGGCUCAACCUGGGAACUGCAUUGGUGACUGGCAGGCUAGAGUAUGGCAGAGGGGGGUAGAAUUCCACGUGUAGCAGUGAAAUGCGUAGAGAUGUGGAGGAAUACCGAUGGCGAAGGCAGCCCCCUGGGCCAAUACUGACGCUCAUACACGAAAGCGUGGGGAGCAAACAGGAUUAGAUACCCUGGUAGUCCACGCCCUAAACGAUGUCAACUAGUUGUUGGGGAUUCAUUUCCUUAGUAACGUAGCUAACGCGUGAAGUUGACCGCCUGGGGAGUACGGUCGCAAGAUUAAAACUCAAUGAAUUGACGGGGUCAUAGCUGUUUCCU
Molecule: ribosomal RNA, 584 nt
Filed under: uncultured bacterium
Lineage: Bacteria
Description: partial 16S ribosomal RNA
Rfam family: Bacterial small subunit ribosomal RNA
Source: RNAcentral